RNAcentral lists this microRNA precursor (82 nucleotides) under Bombyx mori (domestic silkworm). RNAcentral describes it as "mir-2807 microRNA precursor family". It matches the Rfam family "mir-2807 microRNA precursor family". The record is from Rfam by way of RNAcentral. Lineage: Eukaryota; Metazoa; Arthropoda; Insecta; Lepidoptera; Bombycidae.
UUAACAUAUUUGUAUGGAAUGGGAUCGUUUGCGUACGUUUGCCGCUAGGGGCGCUGUUCCAACUGCAUACAAAAUUGAGUUA